RNAcentral lists this ribosomal RNA (142 nucleotides) under uncultured bacterium. RNAcentral's name for it is "partial 16S ribosomal RNA". It matches the Rfam family "Bacterial small subunit ribosomal RNA", at positions 392 to 525 of the family's 1533-position model. The record is from RNAcentral.
CCAUGCCGCGUGUGUGAAGAAGGCCUUAUGGUUGUAAAGCACUUUAAGCGAGGAGGAGGCUACUUUAGUUAAUACCUAGAGAUAGUGGACGUUACUCGCAGAAUAAGCACCGGCUAACUCUGUGCCAGCAGCCGCGGUAAUA